AUUGAACGCUGGCGGCAUGCUUUACACAUGCAAGUCGAACGGCAGCGCGGGCUUCGGCCUGGCGGCGAGUGGCGAACGGGUGAGUAAUGCAUCGGAACGUGCCCAGUAGUGGGGGAUAGCCCGGCGAAAGCCGGAUUAAUACCGCAUACGACCUGAGGGUGAAAGCGGGGGACCGAAAGGCCUCGCGCUAUUGGAGCGGCCGAUGUCGGAUUAGCUAGUUGGUGGGGUAAAGGCUUACCAAGGCGACGAUCCGUAGCUGGUCUGAGAGGACGACCAGCCACACUGGGACUGAGACACGGCCCAGACUCCUACGGGAGGCAGCAGUGGGGAAUUUUGGACAAUGGGGGCAACCCUGAUCCAGCCAUGCCGCGUGCGGGAAGAAGGCCUUCGGGUUUUAAACCGCUUUUGUUCGGGAAGAAAUCCUCUGGGCUAAUACCCCGGGGGGAUGACGGUACCGGAAGAAUAAGCACCGGCUAACUACGUG
Molecule: ribosomal RNA, 484 nt
Filed under: uncultured bacterium
Lineage: Bacteria
Description: partial 16S ribosomal RNA
Rfam family: Bacterial small subunit ribosomal RNA
Source: RNAcentral